UACCUACUGGGCAUCACUCCGCCUCCGCUCUCCCACUCAACCACCUGAAGGAGGACUUACACGCCUGAAGGGGGGUGGACUUUGGCCUCGGAUCAGCUGUUAUAGAUUCGACUGGGGAAUUUUCUAACUGUGUGAUACUUCAACGGAUUCUAUUAGAGUUUCGAAGAGCAAAGGAAAGGAAAUAAGAUCGAGGGACUGAACUGCAUCUUAUUCUUUCAUAUUUACAUGCACAUAAUCAACAGGAAACACCUGGUCUUCUGCGACCCAACCUGACCUUAAGGAGGACCUUUGGAUGAAAACCUGACCCGCAAAACAACCCUAGAGUGACCUAACUACAGGCCGGACAGACCCAGACCAGAGACCACUACAAGACAGAAAACAAGGUCAUUGACACCGUUAUAGAGUGAACCGCGUAUAUAAUAAACCAUCACAAUGAUUCACAAAGUGGUGAUGAAAGUGAAGCACCUGAAGCGUGGAGUGAUUAUUGACUUGAUGACCUUGGAUGACGUGAUUAACCAGCAUUCGUGCCUGAGAAUUACGAGGACCAAGUUACAGCGGUCUUGGAGAGAGAUUGCGCCGAAAGUGAGGCAGUUUAAGAAGAAAAUGCAGCCGGGCCCUUACCCUGAAGAUGAACGCUAUAAGAAGAUGAGAAAGACACCACUGCGUUAUUGAUCACGUCUAAGAAACUCAUAUAGAUGUAAACAAAAUCAUAGGAUUCGUAUAAAAAACAAAACAUCAAUCAUACAAGAACUUCAUAUAUAUAAUUCAUAUAAAAACAAAAUAUAUCAAUCACUUAAACAACAAAACUCAUUUAAACCAUAUGAAAAAUAAUCUAAUUCAUAUAAACAAAACAUCAUUCAUAAAAAAAAACAUAAAUUGUAUAAAAAAAUACUCACGUUACCCCCUUUUCCUCUGUAUAGUCCUUCCCGUAGUGGUCAUAGGAACUAUAAAUUGUGUCUUAUUUUGUGCUGUUCGUCACAUACCGAUAAAGCUCAUUAGAGUUCGGAUAUUUUUCGAAUCCUCCGAAAUACCAUGUAUAUUAUCACCUUCAUUUCACUUGUAAUUAUAUAUCAUAUUCUCUUCGAAAAAUACGAGUCAUAUUCACGCUUUCACUUCAUUUUGCUGACGGAUAAAAAAAAAAUCCCAUAUAUCACACAUAUAUCAAUAGGAAUUAUCAGUUUGAAAAAACAUUCAAUCGCCCCCAAGAAAUUUUAAGCUAAAAAACAAAAAAUGAAAACCGUUACAAGAAAACCGGCCAACCAACGUCUUAAAAAAUAGCACUUACCGGAAAAGCUUAACUGCCAUGCGAAAGUCGGACAUGGCCGAAGAAGCAGUAUAUCUGACCCGCUCAGUUGAACCUCAGGAAAACCAUAUUGGAAAACAGUUAUAUUUUGGUCUUUUAACCUUAAACACGGAAGCACCGCAAAGGCGAGAGAAUGAAGCACUUCCACUUUUAUAAUUACAUUAAUAGUGAGAAAAAAAAACGUGUAAAAUGCAGUUACGAUGCAUCUUUGCUGUAUAUAUAUCGCAUACAUACACACAUUUUCAAACACACAUACAAGCACACUAACUCAUAUUUUUCUGUAUCAAAUACCAUUGUCUGAACCGUGCAUCAUGGAAAGUGCACAGCACAUCAUGGCAUCGACAUGAGGAAAGAAAAUCAUGAAGCAUAAUUAAGCACCUUAAGCAUGGAAACUGUCAUUAACAGACAGGUUUUCAGCUGCUCAACUAUUGCUGCUAAUGAAUACAUGUUUACCUCUACGUAUUGCUCAAAAGUACUGAAGAAUUUACCACUUUUACAAAGAACACAUUCCGUGACUCAUCAGGAUCAUCACCCCAAAUCACCAUUAGAUUCAUGAACCGUUGUUUCUCAGUCCAUUUCAUCCUCAGUAUAUAAUUUUUAAAUAUCAUACAAUAACAACGAGAAUCAUCUGUCGCCCUUUUUUUUCUUCAUCCUCAACGCAAAACCUUUGUUUCUGAAUUGUUAAAUGCAGAGCAAAGGCGCGUUGGUAACUUGCCUAACUCUGUGAUAAUCACUUUUCUUUUGUAAAGAAAAGAAUAUUGUGAUAUAUCAGUAAUGUUAAUGGUUAGGAAAGGCAUUAAAGAAUUUU
RNAcentral lists this long non-coding RNA (2111 nucleotides) under Penaeus japonicus. Its description in RNAcentral is "uncharacterized LOC122255363". The record is from RNAcentral. Lineage: Eukaryota; Metazoa; Arthropoda; Malacostraca; Decapoda; Penaeidae.